GGGAGUCCAGAGUUAGGGUAGCAGGUCCAUGAAGUCACUGCUGUUCCAGGCUCCAUCUGCCUCCUACCUUCCUGUCUUUAGCAUGUGGCUUCUGUUCUAAUGGCCCGACGACGCCUAUUUUACAUUUGCCCACCUUACUGGCAGACAGGAUGAAGAAGAAUUGCAUGUGUAUCAGGAAGCAAAAUUUUUCCCCAGAAAUUCCCAGCAGACUGUUGUUAUCAAUAUUCCAUUGAUGAGAACUGUUUCAUGUAGAGGUCCCUAACUGAAGGGCGUGGGGUGCUAGUUGAGUUUUUGUAGCUUGGGACAAUUAUUUUUGGAACAAAAUUUGAAUGCUGUUAGUAAAGGGGAAGAGGCUAAUGGAUAUUGGGAAGAUGAAUCUCAGCGUUUGUUAUAGGGUCCUCCAGACAGGCUGGAUUAUAACACAAGCAUUAUUCAGUACAAUUUAAAAUAAAUCAGGAGCAGGGAGGGCUCCUAAUAUUCUGGAUUUAUAACUCUUUGAAAUUUUAGUUUAAUCCACAGAAUGCUUUUAAAGUUUCCUCCGAAACAUUUUUUUUUCCUGUAUGUCUAUUCUCCACAAAUAUUUUUUCUACAUCAGAACACAAUUUGAUUGAACACUAACUCCGAUAUUCACAGACGGCAUUAGAUUUUGGUCACUAGUACUAGUCUUUAUGUAAGAACCAAGAUUCCUUGGAGGAUAGCGGAAUCCACGUAUUGCACCCAGAAAAAGUAUGUUUCGCUGGAGUGAAUGAUAAACCGCUUCUGGGCAGAGGCACUCUUUACUACUCUCUUGGAGUCCUCAGGAUCUAAGGAAUGAGCUGCAAUACCACAUUGUGCCAGUAGAUGACGAAACCAUCCAACAUGUGAGGACUCCUCACCGGAAAUCCCUUAAAUUUCAAGCAUCGAAUAAGAGAUUAUUAUUUUCUGUUAUCAGGUCUACCUCGUGUGCAUCUUUUAAAGCGCCUCAAACUUUAGUCAACUGGACUUCAUCAGGUUUACAGAGCAGGUAAUGGAUUGUUUUGUGCUGUUUGCUGUUGAUGGUUUAAUCAGUGUUUGUGUACACAUUUGUUUGGAAAUUUGUUUGCUUUCUAACCAAAAGAAUAACUGACUUUGUCCAUCUCCUCACAUCUCUUCAAGGGUUUUCAGUGGCUACUGUUAUAUACCCACACUUACCUGUACAUACUCAAUAAGCUUGAGUCAGCUGGUAUCAACUUAAUUGAUUACUGAUAGUCCUUUUCUUGCUAUAAUCUCAUCUGCUAAGUAAUUCAUAUUUCCCUGCUGAUUUGAAGGGCCAUAUUUAUCAUAUACUAAAUUCCCAUAGACAUUUGAGUCUGUUUUUGGAUUCUUCAUUCUGUUUACUCAAUCUAUGCUAGCAUCAAAUUUUUAAUUUAUAUUUGAGCUUAUUUUUCAGAAUUUUCUGAGUUAUUUAGUACAAGUUUAUUUUUUCAUGUAAACAAAGAAUAUUGUCUCCCCCUAGCCCCUACCAUAAAAAAUCCAUUGGUAUUCUAUCUAUCUAUCUAUCUAUCUAUCCAUCUAUCACUUAUAUAGAGCUUACCACACACUACGUCUUAACUCAUU
Molecule: long non-coding RNA, 1575 nt
Organism: Papio anubis (olive baboon)
Lineage: Eukaryota; Metazoa; Chordata; Mammalia; Primates; Cercopithecidae
Source: Ensembl